Long non-coding RNA from Melospiza melodia melodia, 6224 nucleotides. RefSeq lists it as uncharacterized. Lineage: Eukaryota; Metazoa; Chordata; Aves; Passeriformes; Passerellidae. The record is from RefSeq and is a predicted model, not a curated record. The transcript is spliced from 3 exons.
CACAGGCUGGUCCCGUCCCUGUUGGCACUUUGGCUGCUACCCUGGGCACUGGGCACUAAUCAGACAUUUGUCCAACCCCUUCUCCUGACCUUGGUCAGUAGAAAUGCAUUUAUUGGUCCUUGGGCUGCCCAUCUCUGAGUAACCAGGGGGCAGAGUCACCCAGGAACAGCCCACAAAGAAUCUCCAAGGGAUCUCUACAGAGUUCAGCUGGAAUUAUUUACAGAAUCCCAGGAGGGACUUCCUCUCCCAAGACCAGAAAGAAGCCAGCAUGGGUCCUGCUGAUCUGAUCCUGUGUUUCAGUAAUGUUGGCAAACACCUGGAGUAUAUUCAAGAAGAGCUGGAAAAGUAUCUGGAGAAGCUAAACCAUGUCUUCUUCGACACAGAAGCCAGAAAAAGGGAUGGCCACCAUGAUCAGAAGUCCCUCCAUUGCAGAAGUGCUGAUGUUAUGUCAGAAACUAAGGAACACUCAGGAAAGGAGGCCUGAAGCAGCUGUUCAGCCUGAGACUGUGUCACAAUCCCUGGUACAAGUGGGAGUCGUGAUGGUUCCUUAACUGAUCUCUGAGUGCAAAAACAACACAGAGGGGAUUUCAAUAUUAAUCAAAACAAAUGCACCGUUUAUUGAAUGACCACAGCAAAUGCGACAGAAGGAUGGAAAAGGAGAGAAAGAAUAGAGAGAGAGAAAGGGUGGGGGGAGAGCAUAGCUACCAACAGAGAGACAAAAAAUCCUCGUGGUCCAGCCAAUAGAUCCGUCUGGUCAUGCUGGGGAGAAUCUCAAAGUCUUUGGUCAACUCGGGUUAACUCUUCUGCCAGGAGAGGAGCAGGAUGGUACAUCCAGGGAGCAGGCACAGGACACCUGAAUAACAAUUCCCUUGAGAACAAGGCCAGACUGUCCAGUUCCAAACAGGACAAACCAGUCCCACAGUGAGCAGGUCCAGCAAACACAGCUGCAGGCAGCACUGGGCAGACAUCCCACUCCAGUCAGCCCAGUGCCCCUGUUGAGGGUCUCAGUCCUUGGGAGGGGGGGGCUUCAUGAGGCAGAUGAGGGAUUUUCCAUGGGGGAUCACCAAAGUUACCCCAGAAAGUCAAACUUUCUCCAAAGUGGGUGGCAUUUGGCCAGGAAAUGGAGAAAUUCAUGGGCUAUUGUGAUGAGCAGGGAUCGUGAAGCAGCUGCAAGACUGUGGUGACAGAGCAAGCACACCUGCAAACAAUCACUUGGGAAGCAUCCAUCUCAACCAGGCCAGAACUGCAGUCAGGGUCCUCAGGGUCUGAGUCUCUGUCCUUGGGAUGGUCAUGAGGCAAAUGAGAGAAUCUUCAGACUGUCUCUUACAGACAGACACUGCUUGGAGCUGUGGCUGGUAAGUGUCCUCCCAGCACACACUGCCUGUUUUAUAUCACUGAAGGGGUGAAGUGGCCACAGCCUGUGACACCUCUCUGCUGACAGUUCUGUUCAUCCAUCAUGUCCCAUGGAUCAAGGAGCUGCAGAGCACAAGGGCUGCCUGACAUCCUGGGGGUCCUGGUUGGCAGCCGGCUGAACGUGAGCCAGCAGCGAGCCCUGGGGGCCAGGAAGGCCAACGGCUCCUGGUCUGGAUCAGGAAUGGAUCAUCCUGCACCAACAGCCUGUGGCAGGAAUGCUGUGGCCAGCAGGAGCAGGGAGCUCAUCCUUGCCCUGUACUCAGCACUGGGGAGGCCACAGCUCGAGCGCUGUGUCCAGCUCUGCGCCCUCAGUUUGGGAAGGACAUUGAGACGCUUGGGCACAUCCAGAGGGGGCAACGAGGCUGGAGAGGGGCUGGCAACACUGAAGGCCUCUGAGGAACCACUGAGGGAGCUGGGGGUGCUCAGCCUGGAGAAAAGGAGACUCAGGGGUGACCUUAUCACUCUCUACAACUCCCUGAAAGGUGCCUGUGCUCAGCUGGGGUUGGUCUCUUUCACCAGGCAGCACUGACAGAACCAGAGCACACAGAUUCAAAUUGCACCAAGGGAAAUGCAGGUUGGAUAUUAGAAAAAAGUUUUUUAUGGAAAGAGUGAGAAAGUUCUGGAAUGUUCUGCCCAGGGAGGUGGUGGAGUCACCAUCCCUGGAUGUGUUUAAAAAAGCCUGGAUGUGGCACUGGGUGCCAGGGUUUGGUUGAGGUGUUGGGGUUGGGUUGGACUCGAUGAUCUUUGAGGUCUUUUCCAACCCAGUAAUUCUGUGUGAUUCUGUGAAUUCUCUGAACCUCUGGCUGUGCUUUGCCUUGCACCAUAUCUCCUGAUGGGUUGGAGUCACAGCAUGUGCCUUUUCCUCCCCGAUUGUUCCUGCUUGGAGCUGCCAGAGGAUAGGCUGAACGCACCUGCCUGCAUUGCCCACCCCACAGGGCUCCCACCUCAGCCCUAGGGUUGUGUGGUUCCCUGGGUAUGAUCUGUUUACCAGCUUUGGACUCUCUUGGUGCUGUCAAGCACAGUCUCUGUGAGAGCUGCAGAGCUGGCAGAGGGUUUGUUUGGUCCAGGGCUUUCUGGAGCCACUCAGAACCAGCAUUCCAGAAGUGUCAUCACUGUUGUCCUCUCUCUUCACGUGACAUUGGUGCUGAGUAGACACCUUCUUUCCCACCAGGAAACCCUGUCAGGGCUUGCUCCUGCUGCUCCUCCUCCCAGAGUCACUGCCUACAUCCCAUUCUUGCAGUCUUCAGACAGGUCUCAUUCCCUUUUCCUUUGGUCCCAUUCCCUUUUCCUUUCUGUUUUCCAACAGCUCCAUCUUCCACAGUAGCUUGCAGGAGUAGUGCCCUGCAUCCCUCCUGGAGAAGGCCUGGAGUGAACCAAGGGCUUUGGUGGGGUACAUAGGAAGGGGAUUGAGAUAUCUUUAAAGGUUCCCAUCCACCUGGAUGAGGGGAUCACUUGGUGUUGCAGUUCUUCGCAGCCAAGGCAAAAAUUUUUGCUUGUGCCAAGGCCAGGCCAGGUACAUUUGCUGUUUCUUGGGGAUAAAUAUCUCAUUUUGUUUUAGGACAACUGCAGUCUCCAUCCACCCAGGCACUCACUGACUGGAGAUAGAUGGCUCCACAGCAAGCCCUUCCCCGCUCCUCUCAGCAGCCAUUGCUUUCCACACAGCCCAUGGCACUAAGAGAAGAGGUGAUGCCAAAAAAGAGGAGGCAGCAUCCCACGAAACACCAAAGCUCUGGCCUGGCCGGCCUCUUUGGCCCAUUUGGUGCAGUGGUUGCCUGUCCCAGGCCAUCCAAAGCUAUCCCACAGCCUGGGACUGAUUCAGGCUGCCUGGCUUGGCCUUUCUGGCUAAGAGGACACAGGGUUUGUGUGAACCCUGGUGGAAUCAGGGGUGGGCAUUGUUCCCGCUCUCAGGGAAAAUCCCAAAUCUGUCACCUUUGGCUCCAUUCAUGUCUGUGAACAGAGAGGAAAGCCAGACUGUGCUGGUGCUGAGCAGAGCUGCACAUCCUUUGUCAGAGCUUUUGUACCUGUUGAGUGGUUCUCCAAAGACCCCUCCUACGCAGCAGCAACAGGAGGUCAGAGUAGUUGGCUGUGUCACUGGGAGGCUGUGACAGGUGCUGAAGGGGGGAGAAGAGCCAAUGCAGAUGGUAGAAGAGUUCUGGGCUGCUGAUCCACCCCAUUGCCCUGCUGAGCCCCCAGUGCCACAUCUGCUUGGGUUUUUAAUCUGUCCAGGGAUGGGGACUCCACCACUGCCCUGGGCAGCUGUGCCAGUGCUUUACAAUUCCUUCUGUGCAGAAAUUUUCCCAAUAUGCAACCUAAACCUCCCGUGAUGCAGGUUGAGGCCAUCUCUUCUGUCCUGUCCCUGGUCCCUGGGAGCAGAGCCUGACACCCACCUGGCUGCCCCCUCCUGUCAGGGAGUUCUGCAGAGUUGAGAAGGUCCCCACUGUGCCACCUUUUCUUCAGGCUGAGCCCCUCCAGCUCCCUCAACUAUUCCUGCAUUCCUAUUCCUAUCAGACUUGUGCUCCAGAGCAUUCCCCUUUCUCUUCUCUGGACACACUCCAGCCACUCAAUGUCUUUCACAUCACAAGAGAUUCAUCUAUUUGAUGUCAUUGUCCUUUCUGCCUCUGUGCCAUGACCUGGCAGAGGUGGGAGCAGAGCCUUCCUGAAAGCUGGUACAGGGAUGCUCCUCCACGAUGAAUGUGGAGGCUUCAGUCUCUGCUUUGGCCCCUGACUGUCCUUGGUGUUCUGGGCUGAGGUGUGAGUUCUGUGGGAGUCCUGCCCUUAGCACAGAUGAGUGGGAGCAGAGAACUCUGCCAGUUAAGAGUCCCUGGGCUGGCAGAAAGGCGCACAAAGGAGCAUCCACUGCCCUUUCCAUGGCACAGGUGCCAGGGAGAGCCUGUGGGAAGCACAGCACCAAUUUGUGUUGUCUGCUGAGGGAAGAAAAUGGCUCCCAGCAGGGCUCUCAAUUCAUGGCUGGGGAAGGAAGAAGGUUGAAGUGGAUAAAUAAUAAGGAUUUCCUCAAUUUCAUCUAGAAUAGAUGCAAGUAACCAGCAUAAAGAUACUGAAAAUAGCCUUCAGGUGGACAGUAAUAGCUCACUCUCAAGAGCUCUUGGGGCAGGAGGGGUGGGUUCCAUAGGAAGGAAAGGUAUGGGCCACACUUCACCUGAGGCAGCAGAUCCUGCUGGAGGGACAGUACACCCCAGAACCGGGCUGAUCAGCUUGGCAGCAUUGCCUGUGUUCCGUGGGACACGAUCAGUCACCAGUUUUCAUUCACUGCCUUCUCUCAUGGCAGCGCCAGAGGCAGAGCCAGCCCUGGUGGGUGCUGCUGCUCGGGGCAGUCCCUCACAGAAGGGGACAGGAACAAGGGAAGGCUGCAGCUCAUGCGCCGCUGUCCCUGCGGGCCGUCCGGGCCCUGACAGCCGAUCCCGGGCUGGGAGCAUCUCCUGGCGGUGGCUGUAAAGCCCCACUGGGGCCUCACACCUCAGCCCCUCACUGUGCACCCCCUGCCCAGCUGUCAGAGCCCGCAGGGGACAGGCCAGCAGCCCCCGGUGCUGUGCUGUGGGCAGCCAGAGCAGCGCUCCUCGGGCUCGCUGACUGAGGGGUCUGCAGUGCAGAGCAGCCACAGCAUGAAAUGGUCCCGUACCUGCAGGGCGGGACCUCGGGGAAUGUGUGUCCUCGGCAUCUGCAUGUGCAGCAGAGUGGGCUCAUUGCUUGUACAAAAUGUUUGGAUCAAAGCUAAUAAACACUAAGCUCUGUGCCCACACCCCUUCCUGAGCGGAGCUCCCUCCCUGUCCUGUGCCGUGUGCCACCAGCAGCUCUGCCGUGGCACCCCAGCAGCAGGAGGAGGCACCCACGGUCAAAGCUGACCAUCCAAUGUGACACGGCCAUACCCUGCACACCCUUGGUGCUGCUGAGCCGCGGGGAGCACCCACAGCCGAGCACCCAGCCCCAGCAGGCUCAGGGCGGUGCCGUCACCGUGGGGCCCGAGCCCAUCCCUGCCAUCUCCUGAGCCCAGCAGUGACACCCCACAUGUCAAGGGUAAGAGUGUGGGCAGGGCACAGUGCACCGUGCUGGACACACACUUGGCCAAACAGCCCCAGGGGCUUUGCUGGACAUGGUUCUGCUCUGGCUGCUCCUGCAUAGGUCCCUCCAGUGUCCCCCAGCUUCAGCAGCACCAACAGGUGAUCCUGCUUUUCCCUGUGCACUCAGAAUCAGCCAUCUCUGAUAUCCCCACAAUAAGAUCUUCCACCCCAUCACCUCAACAAAGCAGCUUCCUCUGCUGAGGGGAUAUUUCUGUCAUGGGAAAAAUCUUCCCUUGUACAGUAUUUUCCUGGAUUUCCUGUUUUUAACAGCCUGACUGGCACAGCUUGUUCAGAACACAGGUAGGAGACACAUUCCAGCAGUGAGAUGUGUUGUCCUAGUGAAGAGGUUGAAGGUUUGGCAGGGCUGUACAUGCUCAGCUCUCUGAGUCCUGCUUGCCCUGGAGGUUGGGGAGCACAGCCAUAACUGUGCCCAGCCCACCCAGCAGACACGGACCCCACCAAGCAGUGAGACCUGCAGCUUUCCUCCUGGGGCCUGCAUGGCCCAGAGCUGCCCUGCCCUGCAGAUCCACCUCCCAGCCAGACUGAGCACAGGGGCAAUUUUGGCAUUGUUUUGUGGAGAAAAGUGCCCCACAACUUUGUGAAAGUUGUAAAGCCAGUAUGUUUAUUACAGCGCUAAACGGAGAUUGCUCUCCUCAAAAAAAGACAUGCAUACCUCUGAGAACUUCAGGUCUCUUUUUAUCUCUCUCUCAAAUAUAUAUGCAUACAGUUUCACAA